GGUUAAGCGACUAAGCGUACACGGUGGAUGCCCUGGCAGUCAGAGGCGAUGAAGGGCGUGCUAAUCUGCGAUAAGCGCCGGUAAGGUGAUAUGAACCGUUAUAACCGGCGAUACCCGAAUGGGGAAACCCAGUGUGACUCGUCACACUAUCAUUAACUGAAUCCAUAGGUUAAUGAGGCGAACCGGGGGAACUGAAACAUCUAAGUACCCCGAGGAAAAGAAAUCAACCGAGAUUCCCCCAGUAGCGGCGAGCGAACGGGGAGGAGCCCAGAGCCUGAAUCAGCAUGUGUGUUAGUGGAAGCGUCUGGAAAGGCGCGCGAUACAGGGUGACAGCCCCGUACACAAAAGCGCAUGUGCUGUGAGCUCGAUGAGUAGGGCGGGACACGUGGUAUCCUGUCUGAAUAUGGGGGGACCAUCCUCCAAGGCUAAAUACUCCUGA
This 439-nucleotide ribosomal RNA is filed under the name Salmonella enterica. Its description in RNAcentral is "partial 23S ribosomal RNA". It matches the Rfam family "Bacterial large subunit ribosomal RNA", at positions 1 to 479 of the family's 2925-position model. The record is from RNAcentral. Lineage: Bacteria; Pseudomonadati; Pseudomonadota; Gammaproteobacteria; Enterobacterales; Enterobacteriaceae. RNAcentral also lists the same sequence under 1 other name.